AUUCUAACAAUAUAAGAGUUACCUACAUUAUACUGGUUACCUGCAUACUAAUGCAUGCAUUUUUUUAUCUUGUUGUAAUUGUGUUUAUAACCCCAUGCAUGCACUUUAAAAAAUAAUUUUUCAUCAUUUCAAAUGUAGAACAACAACCAGUGACUGAGAGAGAUGGGAGGAAGAAGAAAGCUGGAAGAAGGCUGGACCCCAUGACCCUCAGGAGCACGUGAUCCCUUUCAACAAUCUAUCAUACAACAAAAAAUUCUUCUUAAGGAUCAACCCAGAUGAGGGCACCAGGUGCACUGCUACAGUGGGUACAAGCUACAAGACGGGAAGAGUCGUCCAAAGAAAGGUGACGAGCAUCAGCUCCAGAGUCACCACCUUCCUCCAACGGCUCACCGAAUUUGAGUGGAUGACAUCAAACUAGUCCAGUAUGGACCACCUCACCAGAGCAUCUCUGGAUUGGAGGCUCCAUCUUGGCCUCUCUGUCCACCUUCCAGAAGAUGUGGAUCAGGAAGCAACAGUACUAUGGGUCCGGCCUUCACAAAUCCUUCUAAGCAGACUGUUCCUCCUUCCAAAGCCCAACAACUUCAGCUUUGUGGUAACAACCACACCACAUUUUGUAUACAUUUGCAAAUACAGGUUAUUUAGUUUUCUUCGGGAUUUAAAAUGUUCAAUUCGUUUUGAGAGUCAAUUCAAAUGGUAACUACAUUGUUCAGACUUGUAUUUGCCUCUGAAUGCUGCCCAGUGUUUUGGCGCAUAUUUAGACAUCGUUUUAGUAUCACUUGUAUGUCAAUUGUCUGUUCUUUUGCACUUUCAGAGUUAAAAAAUAUCUUGUUCCUGAUGUUUUUACCUGAAAAUAAAAAUGUAUUACUUUUGUACAUGGGCUAAAGUCAAUUAUUUGGAAUUUAUUAAAUUCAAUAGAAUUUAUGUAAAAUAUUUAAAAUUGUUUGUACAGCCAAUGCCAAAUAGUGUAAUACAUUGUGAACCACAAUUACAAUAAAACUAUAAUACAGCAAGACAAUUUCAGUAUUAUUUAGCAAAUUGUAAUUAUAAUAUGAUUACUGUAAGGGUAUUAUACAGUAAAACUAAGUUACAGUAAGGGUACUUUUUCUACUGUAAA
Molecule: long non-coding RNA, 1114 nt
Organism: Etheostoma spectabile (orangethroat darter)
Lineage: Eukaryota; Metazoa; Chordata; Actinopteri; Perciformes; Percidae
Exons: 3
Source: RefSeq, a predicted model, not a curated record